Glycine max (soybean) is the source of this 92-nucleotide non-coding RNA. The record is from Rfam. NCBI's taxonomy places the organism in Eukaryota, Viridiplantae, Streptophyta, Magnoliopsida, Fabales, Fabaceae.
AAUGGGCUUGUGAUGAAUCUCAUCUUAACAAAUGGGUAAUUUGCGUCUGAAAUUCAUUGAUGCUAUAUCACCUUGGAGAACUGAUGCCCUUA